Molecule: ribosomal RNA, 421 nt
Filed under: uncultured Glomeraceae
Lineage: Eukaryota; Fungi; Glomeromycota; Glomeromycetes; Glomerales; Glomeraceae
Description: SSU rRNA
Rfam family: Eukaryotic small subunit ribosomal RNA
Source: RNAcentral
GGGAGGUAGUGACAAUAAAUAACAAUACGGGGUUCUUCGAAUCUCGUAAUUGGAAUGAGUACAAUUUAAAUCCCUUAACGAGGAACAAUUGGAGGGCAAGUCUGGUGCCAGCAGCCGCGGUAAUUCCAGCUCCAAUAGCGUAUAUUAAAGUUGUUGCAGUUAAAAAGCUCGUAGUUGAAUUUCGGGGUCAGCAGGUUGGUCUUGCCACUGGUAUGUACUAGCUUGCUGAUUCCUCCUUCUUGUAGAACCGUAAUGCCAUUAAUUUGGUGUUGCGGGGAAACAGGACUGUUACUUUGAAAAAAUUAGAGUGUUUAAAGCAGGCCAACGCCUGAAUACAUUAGCAUGGAAUAAUGAAAUAGGACGUUCGAACCUAUUUUGUUGGUUUCUAGGAUUGACGUAAUGAUUAAUAGGGAUAGUUGGG